Molecule: ribosomal RNA, 768 nt
Filed under: Trichococcus patagoniensis
Lineage: Bacteria; Bacillati; Bacillota; Bacilli; Lactobacillales; Carnobacteriaceae
Description: bacterial SSU rRNA
Rfam family: Bacterial small subunit ribosomal RNA
Source: RNAcentral
UGGGUGCCUGCCCAUAAGAGGGGGAUAAAAUCCGGAAACGGGUGCUAAUACCGCAUAGUUUUCUUGAUCGCAUGAUUGAGAAAGGAAAGACGGCCUUUGUGCUGUCGCUUAUGGAUGGACCCGCGGCGUAUUAGUUAGUUGGUGAGGUAAUGGCUCACCAAGACGAUGAUACGUAGCCGACCUGAGAGGGUGAUCGGCCACAUUGGGACUGAGACACGGCCCAAACUCCUACGGGAGGCAGCAGUAGGGAAUCUUCCGCAAUGGACGAAAGUCUGACGGAGCAACGCCGCGUGAGUGAAGAAGGUUUUCGGAUCGUAAAACUCUGUUGUCAGAGAAGAACAAGUCGGAUUUUUAACUGCUCCGGCCUUGACGGUAUCUGACCAGAAAGCCACGGCUAACUACGUGCCAGCAGCCGCGGUAAUACGUAGGUGGCAAGCGUUGUCCGGAUUUAUUGGGCGUAAAGCGAGCGCAGGCGGUUCCUUAAGUCUGAUGUGAAAGCCCACGGCUCAACCGUGGAAGGUCAUUGGAAACUGGGGAACUUGAGUGCAGAAGAGGAGAGUGGAAUUCCAUGUGUAGCGGUGAAAUGCGUAGAUAUAUGGAGGAACACCAGUGGCGAAGGCGACUCUCUGGUCUGUAACUGACGCUGAGGCUCGAAAGCGUGGGGAGCAAACAGGAUUAGAUACCCUGGUAGUCCACGCCGUAAACGAUGAGUGCUAAGUGUUGGAGGGUUUCCACCCUUCAGUGCUGCAGCUAACGCAUUAAGCACUC